This 253-nucleotide ribosomal RNA is filed under the name uncultured bacterium. Its description in RNAcentral is "partial 16S ribosomal RNA". It matches the Rfam family "Bacterial small subunit ribosomal RNA", at positions 524 to 776 of the family's 1533-position model. The record is from RNAcentral.
UACGUAGGGUGCGAGCGUUGUCCGGAAUUAUUGGGCGUAAAGAGCUUGUAGGCGGUUUGUCGCGUCUGCCGUGAAAGUCCGGGGCUCAACUCCGGAUCUGCGGUGGGUACGGGCAGACUAGAGUGAUGUAGGGGAGACUGGAAUUCCUGGUGUAGCGGUGAAAUGCGCAGAUAUCAGGAGGAACACCGAUGGCGAAGGCAGGUCUCUGGGCCGAUACUGACGCUGAGGAGCGAAAGCGUGGGGAGCGAACAGG